RNAcentral lists this ribosomal RNA (400 nucleotides) under uncultured bacterium. RNAcentral describes it as "bacterial SSU rRNA". It matches the Rfam family "Bacterial small subunit ribosomal RNA", at positions 355 to 770 of the family's 1533-position model. The record is from RNAcentral.
UCAAGAAUCUUCCCCAAUGGCCGCAAGGCUGAGGGAGCGACGCCGCGUGAAGGAAGAAGGUCUUCGGAUUGUAAACUUCUUUUCUGUGGGAAAAAUUCUGAUGGUACCACAGGAAUCAGGGGCUGCUAACUCUGUGCCAGCAGCAGCGGUAAGACAGAGGCCCCAAGCGUUAUCCGGAUUUAUUGGGCGUAAAGCGUUCAACGGCGGAUCGACAAGUUUCUGGUUAAAUCUCACGGCUCAACCGUGAGGCUGCUGGGAAAACUGUCGAACUAGAGGUUGGGAGAGGCACGUGGAACUGCCGGUGUAGUAGUAAAAUGCGUUCAUAUCGGCAGGAACACCAAAGGCGAAGGCAGCGUGCUGGAACAUACCUGACGCUCAACGAACGAAAGCGUGGGGAGCG